Long non-coding RNA from Gossypium raimondii (Peruvian cotton), 687 nucleotides. RefSeq lists it as uncharacterized. The transcript is spliced from 2 exons. The record is from RefSeq and is a predicted model, not a curated record. NCBI's taxonomy places the organism in Eukaryota, Viridiplantae, Streptophyta, Magnoliopsida, Malvales, Malvaceae.
GUCAAUUUUUUUUAAAAAAAAUCAUUAUGUUUUCAUUUUAAAAAAAAACCUGAGAGCUCUCUCAUUUUCUAUUGUCUCCGGCUCGGACAACGGCAAGCCUCUAUCGUGCCUCCGCCGUGGCCGAAAAAAUGCUUGUAGUCCCUUUUUAAUUAAAAAAAAACCCAGAUCUAAGCUUUUUUGAAAUAGAAAUAAAAUAUAUAUAUAUAUAUAUAUAUAAAUUGCGAAGGAAAACCUUCGCCUCAGUUAACUAUUCAGGUCUUGCUCUGCCGAAGCCUAGGCCGAAUCCUAAUGGAUUCGGAGAUUCGACGCCGGAGAACGCAUCCGACAACCGUGGAAGAUGAAUCGACUCAGGCGUUGGCAGUCAACGGAGGCGAAGGCUUGCUGUUUUGGUGCAAAUGGUGGCAGGGCGCGCCAGGCCUCGGGCGGCGUGCGUGCGAAGGGAAGGGUGCAGCGCUAGAAAGGAAUUAGGGUUUCCUAUUUUUUCUGAAAUGUUUUGGGCCACUGGGCUCUUAACUUUAGGGUUUUUAGUUUUGGGCUAUUUCGGCUUCUUUUGUAAAUGAACUUUGGGACUAUCAAUUUGUAUUUUUGUUUUUAUUUGUUUUUUAGUCUUUGUUUAGGGCUCGGGCAAAAAUGGUCCAUUACAAUGGUAAUAAUAUGGAAGGUGCAAAUCUUUCGUCCUUAGUUAUA